RNAcentral lists this long non-coding RNA (1156 nucleotides) under Macaca fascicularis (crab-eating macaque). Its description in RNAcentral is "lncRNA (ENSMFAG00000062772.1)". The record is from RNAcentral. Lineage: Eukaryota; Metazoa; Chordata; Mammalia; Primates; Cercopithecidae.
UAGUAGAGACAAGGUUUCUCCAUGUUGGCCAGGCUGGUCUUGAACUCCUGACCUCAGGUGAUCCGCCCUCCUUGGCCUCCCAAAGUGCUGGGAUUACAGCUGUCAGCCACGGCGCUGGGCCUACAGCUCAUUUCUUACCACAGAAAUCUUUGUGCCUCUCCACAAAACUGCCAUCAGGGAUGUCCCCAGAAACCAUUCAUCCCAGGUGCCAUGCAGAGAAGAGCUUCUUGUUCUCCUUUUCCCUUUCCCUCUUCCCUCUCACCUCAUCUUGUUCAUUCACUCAUCCCUUUUCCCUUCUCACUUUUAAGCGUUAACCUUUAAAAGCCUGUCUUCCCCUAUAAGUAAUGUAUUGUAACUCCCGACAUCACCAUAUCCUUCUCCAACCCACCAAACUGCCAAGGGUGGUAAGUCCAUAAACUAAGAAGAAAUGGGAAACAUUCAUUGCAAAAUUUGCAGCCCGUCAGUCACCCAAUGUGACAGCACAGAUCUUCUGGUCUUUGAAGACCCAUUUUUUUUUAAGACAGGUGUCACUCUGUCACCCAGGUUCAGGUGCAGUGGUGCAAUCACAGCUCACUGCAACCCCCAACUCCUGUGCUCAGGCGAUCUGCCUGCCUCAGCCUCCCAAGCAGCUAGAACUACAGGAACACACCACCACACACAGCUAAUGUGCUUAUUUUUUGUAAAGAUGGGGUCUUACUCUGCUUAACAGGCUGGUCUCAAACUCUUGGCUUCAAGGGAUCCUCCCACCUUGGCCUCCCAAAGUGCUGGGAUUACAGGCAUGAGUCACCAUGCCUGGUCUGAAGACUUUUAAAUGUUGCCAUAUUCAAGAUGUGUUGAAACUCACCUGUGUUUGAUGAGCCUGCUUUUUCAAGUGAGUAAUAUACAACACACUGAAAUACCUUCAGCUUCUCAGGCUUUGUACCUUCCUCUGGAAUAAUCAGUGUAUCCCAAAAGUAAAUCCAUAAUGAGGUCCAGUUUUUCCUUCCUACUUGGCUAUGAAAUAGACAAAGAAAAAGGCAAGCUAACCAUUUCCAUCUCACUGUAGGAGACUCUCCAGUUUGCUUUUUGACUGUACUUGGGAAGCGGGGACCUGACUGAUUUCCUACUUCCUAAGCAGAACUUCCUUUACCUAGGAAAUCCUCAGCGCGACCUACAU